This 253-nucleotide ribosomal RNA is filed under the name uncultured bacterium. RNAcentral describes it as "partial 16S ribosomal RNA". It matches the Rfam family "Bacterial small subunit ribosomal RNA", at positions 524 to 776 of the family's 1533-position model. The record is from RNAcentral.
UACGAAGGGGGCUAGCGUUGCUCGGAAUCACUGGGCGUAAAGCGCACGUAGGCGGAUUGCUAAGUCAGGGGUGAAAUCCUGGAGCUCAACUCCAGAACUGCCUUUGAUACUGGCGGUCUCGAGUCUGGGAGAGGUGAGUGGAACUGCGAGUGUAGAGGUGAAAUUCGUAGAUAUUCGCAAGAACACCAGUGGCGAAGGCGGCUCACUGGCCCGGUACUGACGCUGAGGUGCGAAAGCGUGGGGAGCAAACAGG